This 660-nucleotide ribosomal RNA is filed under the name Bacillus pumilus. RNAcentral's name for it is "bacterial SSU rRNA". It matches the Rfam family "Bacterial small subunit ribosomal RNA", at positions 71 to 716 of the family's 1533-position model. Lineage: Bacteria; Bacillati; Bacillota; Bacilli; Caryophanales; Bacillaceae. The record is from RNAcentral.
GAAGGGAGCUUGCUCCCGGAUGUUAGCGGCGGACGGGUGAGUAACACGUGGGUAACCUGCCUGUAAGACUGGGAUAACUCCGGGAAACCGGAGCUAAUACCGGAUAGUUCCUUGAACCGCAUGGUUCAAGGAUGAAAGACGGUUUCGGCUGUCACUUACAGAUGGACCCGCGGCGCAUUAGCUAGUUGGUGAGGUAACGGCUCACCAAGGCGACGAUGCGUAGCCGACCUGAGAGGGUGAUCGGCCACACUGGGACUGAGACACGGCCCAGACUCCUACGGGAGGCAGCAGUAGGGAAUCUUCCGCAAUGGACGAAAGUCUGACGGAGCAACGCCGCGUGAGUGAUGAAGGUUUUCGGAUCGUAAAGCUCUGUUGUUAGGGAAGAACAAGUGCAAGAGUAACUGCUUGCACCUUGACGGUACCUAACCAGAAAGCCACGGCUAACUACGUGCCAGCAGCCGCGGUAAUACGUAGGUGGCAAGCGUUGUCCGGAAUUAUUGGGCGUAAAGGGCUCGCAGGCGGUUUCUUAAGUCUGAUGUGAAAGCCCCCGGCUCAACCGGGGAGGGUCAUUGGAAACUGGGAAACUUGAGUGCAGAAGAGGAGAGUGGAAUUCCACGUGUAGCGGUGAAAUGCGUAGAGAUGUGGAGGAACACCAGUGGC